Molecule: ribosomal RNA, 452 nt
Filed under: uncultured bacterium
Lineage: Bacteria
Description: partial 16S ribosomal RNA
Rfam family: Bacterial small subunit ribosomal RNA
Source: RNAcentral
GAUGAACGCUGACAGAAUGCUUAACACAUGCAAGUCAACUUGAACUUCGGUUUGGGUGGCGGACGGGUGAGUAACGCGUAAAGAACUUGCCUCACAGAUAGGGACAACAUUUGAAAACGAAUGCUAAUACCUGAUAUUAUGAUUAUAUGGCAUCGUAUAAUUAUGAAAGCUAUAUGCGCUGUGAGAGAGCUUUGCGUCCCAUUAGCUAGUUGGAGAGGUAACGGCUCACCAAGGCGAUGAUGGGUAGCCGGCCUGAGAGGGUGAUCGGCCACAAGGGGACUGAGACACGGCCCUUACUCCUACGGGAGGCAGCAGUGGGGAAUAUUGGACAAUGGACCAAGAGUCUGAUCCAGCAAUUCUGUGUGCACGAUGAAGUUUUUCGGAAUGUAAAGUGCUUUCAGUUGGGAAGAAAAAAUGACGGUACCAACAGAAGAAGUGACGGCUAAAUACGU